GUGUGUGUGUGUGUGUGUGUGUGUGUGUGUGUGUGUGUGUUUGUGUGUGUGUGUGUGUGUGUGUGUGUGUGUUCUGUCUUCUCCAUCCCCAGUGAGUCAUGGAGGAUGACUGCUUAAGCCUGGUUUAUGCUUCUCCGUCAGCUCCGCAAGGGACAGACACGCACAGAUUGACGGAAGCGUUUUGCUCUCAUACUUCUCCGUCUCCUGGAGAGAGUUGCAAAGCAAUUGCCCGGCAGGACAACAGAGGGCGUAGCGCUGUUCUGUGGUACCCUGUCAUGUAUCGGUCCAAGGGAAAACAAGCCUUUCCAGCCCAUCGACGCAUCUUCACGUCUGUCUAGGAGGGGACUGAUCGCUGUGAUCACCCCCGCAGGAAGCCCACUCCCAGCUGAGUUGAAAGAUCCCUGGCUGUAGACGGUGCGGGGUCCAGUCCCGCGCGGCCCCGCCGUCACACAGCAUGCCGCCCACAGAGAGCCCUGCCCCGGCCGCUGAUUGAUGUGCAACCGCCUGUUGGCCCCUCGCAGCGGGGCCGUCAGAGAGGAGCGUCCUGGAUAAUUAUUAUGUUACUGAGGUGACAUUUACAACACAACACUGCGAGUUUAACUGACAUGUGAAAGGCUUAUUUCCUCUCCGUCUCUGCGGCAAAAAUUAAACUUGAAUAGUUUGUUUUCUCUUCUUUAUUCUCCAAUCAACAAGAAGACCGAAGGCUGACGCCCCAAACGUCAUAAAAGCUAUUUAUCACUCGGCCAGCACGCUCCACACUAAGUUUAUGACCCUAAAAUCAACGACAUGGUCCAUUAAAAAGUCUCCAAAUAGCUAAUAAUAAGUCCGUGUUUAUUGGAGGCCCAACAGUUCAGAUUUGAAAUAAGGCUCUUUAGUUUUUUAUUCCAAUCCUGCUGCAGGGAUGAGAGAGAAAAGGGCAGAAAGAGAACCAUUCGAGCUUCUUUAGUGUUUUGUGUGUAUGAUAAGAAGGAGGAGGAGUAAGGAGGAAGAGGGGGAGGAUGGGGGAGUGAGAGAUGGGUGGGGUGAGGGGGCAAGAGAUCCCGUCGCGUUUUGACCCCAGAAACCCUCCCCGCAACCCGCCUGGCCACCACCAGAGCGCUCCUCCCUCACAUCACCCCCCCCCUCCCCCUCCUCCUCCCCUCCAGACUCCAGACUGAAAACACCAUCGCUCAUCCCGGGCCGUGACAUUUCCCAGCCUGGCUUCUUCUGCUGCGUGGACAGCGAGCGCAAAGGGCCAAAAACAGAGAAAAGCCAGCAAGGGGCGAUAGGAGAGGAGGGGACGCCUCUGCGUGUCACCGAGCAUCCCCGACGCCCCGAAUCGGAGGGAGAGACGCACCAGGCGGAGGCGAGGCGCUACAGGAAGCCGCUGCUCCCUUCACCACCCGCUCCCUGGACUACCGGACUCAACCAGAACCGGACUGGAUUUUUACGUCUCGGUGGGACAUCUAUACACACAUUACCGGAUCUUCACCAACCAAUAGCGCCUAUAGACCGCGGGGUUUAUUCCCUUUAAGCUAUUAGGCUCUCAGACAGGCAGCGGGCUGGGAGCUGAUCAUCCGUCCAUAAAGCCUCCAUCCCGUCAUCAUGUUGUAAGAUAAACGCGAUGGAUGGACAGGGAGUAAACACGCAGCAGGAGCGGCUCCUUGACUCCUCGCGGGCUGUCGCAUGUUCAUCAUCAUGAUGCUCGUAACUUAAUUACUGGUUGAGAAAAGAAAAGAAAA
Molecule: long non-coding RNA, 1721 nt
Filed under: Nothobranchius furzeri (turquoise killifish)
Lineage: Eukaryota; Metazoa; Chordata; Actinopteri; Cyprinodontiformes; Nothobranchiidae
Description: lncRNA (ENSNFUG00015019798.1)
Source: RNAcentral